CGGGGAGUAGCGCAGCCUGGCAGCGCACCUCGUUCGGGACGAGGGGGUCGGAGGUUCAAAUCCUCUCUCCCCGACCA
RNAcentral lists this transfer RNA (77 nucleotides) under Marinithermus hydrothermalis DSM 14884. RNAcentral describes it as "tRNA-Pro (CGG) (tRNA-Pro-CGG-1-1)". It matches the Rfam family "tRNA". From Rfam's summary of the family: Transfer RNA (tRNA) molecules are approximately 80 nucleotides in length. Their secondary structure includes four short double-helical elements and three loops (D, anti-codon, and T loops). The record is from RNAcentral. Lineage: Bacteria; Thermotogati; Deinococcota; Deinococci; Thermales; Thermaceae.